RNAcentral lists this ribosomal RNA (402 nucleotides) under Phaeophyceae sp. RNAcentral describes it as "partial small subunit ribosomal RNA". It matches the Rfam family "Eukaryotic small subunit ribosomal RNA", at positions 582 to 975 of the family's 1831-position model. Lineage: Eukaryota; Phaeophyceae. The record is from RNAcentral.
AUUCCAGCUCCAAUAGCGUAUAUUAAAGUUGCUGCAGUUAAAAAGCUCGUAGUUGGAUUUGUGGCGCGGCCGUCCGGCGGGGCUCUUUCAUUAGGGCCGUUUGUCCGGUUUUUCGGCCGCUCCAUUCUCGGGUAGCGUGUCGCUGGCAUUAGGUUGUCGGCUUCUUCGCGCCCGUCGUUUACUGUGAAAAAAUUAGAGUGUUCAAAGCAGGCUUAGGCCGUUGGAUACAUUAGCAUGGAAUAAUGAGAUAGGGCCACGACGGUCUAUUUUGUUGGUUUGCACGUUGUGGUAAUGAUUAACAGGAACGGUUGGGGGUAUUCGUAUUCAAUUGUCAGAGGUGAAAUUCUUGGAUUUAUGGAAGACGAACUACUGCGAAAGCAUUUACCAAGGAUGUUUUCAUUA